GAAAUGCGAUAAGUAGUGUGAAUUGCAGAAUUCCGUGAAUCAUCGAAUCUUUGAACGCACAUUGCGCCCUUUGGUAUUCCAUAGGGCAUGCCUAUUCGAGCGUCAUUUUACCCUUCAAGCUUUGCUUGGUGUUGGGCGUCUGUUCUACUAUGUGUAAACUCGCCUUAAAAUAAUUGGCAGCUAGUAUGUUAGCUUUAAGCGCAGCAGAAUUGCGUCUUUAGAAAUAGCAAACUAGUAUCCAAAAGCAAUUUUAUAAUCUUGACCUCGGAUUAGGUAGGGAUACCCGCUGAACUUAA
RNAcentral lists this unclassified non-coding RNA (296 nucleotides) under uncultured Pleosporales. RNAcentral describes it as "sequence contains ITS1". The stretch from base 1 to 105 matches the Rfam family "5.8S ribosomal RNA", at positions 50 to 154 of the family's 154-position model. The record is from RNAcentral. Lineage: Eukaryota; Fungi; Ascomycota; Dothideomycetes; Pleosporales.